RNAcentral lists this ribosomal RNA (201 nucleotides) under uncultured bacterium. RNAcentral describes it as "partial 16S ribosomal RNA". It matches the Rfam family "Bacterial small subunit ribosomal RNA", at positions 130 to 334 of the family's 1533-position model. The record is from RNAcentral.
CCGAUGGAGGGGGAUAACUACUGGAAACGGUAGCUAAUACCGCAUAACGUCGCAAGACCAAAGAGGGGACCUUCGGGCCUCUUGCCAUCGGAUGUGCCCAGAUGGGAUUAGCUAGUAGGUGGGGUAACGGCUCACCUAGGCGACGAUCCCUAGCUGGUCUGAGAGGAUGACCAGCCACACUGGAACUGAGACACGGUCCAG